UGGGAACACUAGACAGUGCCUCAGCACUAGGCUUGGGGGCCUUAUUAUAAACAGUGAAAUCACCCAAAGAAAGCACAGCAAUGCGAAGAAUGUGGCAGUAACUAGAGAGCAAAAAGGACGCUUUAUUUAAAGAAAAUAAAAUGUCCAGUAUCAAAUAAAUAAGGGUCAUGUGAUUCCCAAGUAAACUGACCAGAAUGCUCAUCAAAUUCGAAGAAGCGGAGUCAGAUCGUUUCCAAAGGACGAAAGCUGCUCCCCUUCGAAGUCAGUGACCUGUGGAAUGUGGCGAUCUUGUCUUGUACUUAAUAUGUGAUGGCUCGUGGCCGAUCCUGUUGUGUGCUGGGAAUACUGGAACAUCAAGCUAGAAAGCACUGGAUGCCCUGAUCAUGGUGGAGUCAUCACUCCAGUCGUGGAUAGCUACAUUCACGUGAGAGGUGUCCCUCACAUGUCAGCUGAGACCCAGGAAGCAGCCUGGGAUCCCUCAGCCAUCCUCACCCAGGGCUUUCUGGAGGUGCGCAGUCUUCAGAGAUAUUGAAGGUGUUGCACAGUAGAUGAUGCAAUUUCACAGCCAGCCCUUGCCAAGCUGAUUUCCAAUCCAGGGAGCAGGAAUAGUCAUGCAGAAGAGUGGUGAGGAGCUUUGACUUGACCCAGACCCGAUUGGGAUACUGGUUCUGCCACCAACUAACUGUGUGGACUAGGAAAUGGAGUAGUAAGUGGUGAAGAGUGUGGACUCUGCAGCCAAACUGCCUUGGUUUCAAUUCGGCCUCUGCUACUUCUUUACUGUGUAGCUUUGGGCAUGUCAUUUUGCCUCUCUGUGCCUCAUUCGUUUUGUCUGUAAAAUGGGAACUUCUGUGUGCCUACCUCGUAGUGUUGUUGUGAGAGACACACGCAAAUGCGUUGUAAAGUAUCUCAUGGCAUAUCGUAAGUACUAAACUAUAAUUUACUUUUUUAAGUGGCAUUAGUGAGAUACUAGUUAAACACUAUAAUGAGGCAGGUCCAGAUUGCAAUCUCAACUUUGCUACUCACCAGUUAGUUGAACUCGGAUCUCUGCUCACCGUGCCAGCCUGUUCUGUCUCUGUCUUCCUUUGACUUUCUAUGCUUUGACUGCACUGAUCUUUUUUCAAUUUCUCCAGCUCUCUUCAUAGUCCAUAUAUAAUAUUUCUUCCGGUGGGAAUGUUCUUUAUUACCAUUACAGUUGUCCCCGCUUAUCCACACGGGAUCCGUUCCAAGACCCCCAGUGGAUGCCUGAAACCACAGACAGUACUGAACCCCAGACGUACUAUCUGUUUUCCUGCACAUACAUACCUAUGAUAAAGUUUAAUUUAUAAAUUAGGCACAGUAAGAGAUUAACAACAAUAACUUCUCUUUGGCAUAUCUGAAUGGUCAGUAUCACUAUUCUUGUGCUUAGGGGUCAUUAUUAAGUAAAAUGAGUUACUUGUGCGUAAGCACGGCGAUACCACCACAGUUGGUCUGAUAACCAAGGUGCUGCUGCUUAGUAACUAAGGGGUGGGUAGCACAUACACAGUGAAUCCGCUGGGCAAAGGGAUGAUUCACGGCCAGGAUGGGAUAGAGGGGGACAGCGAGAUUUCAUCACACUACUCAGAAUGGCACACAAUUGAAAACUUAUGAAUUGUUUAUUUCUGGAGUUUUCCACUUAAUAUUUUUGGACUGUGGUUGACCACAGGUGCCUGAAACCGUGGAAAGUGAGAUUACGGCUAAGGGGGUGCUACUGGAUUAUCAAAAGUCUCCUCCAUGGGAAGUCUAUUUCUGUCCUUCCAGACCAGGUUCAGCUCCUGGGAAACCUCUCGGAGCCCUCUCCUCCAGAGGACCUGUCCUAACUGGGGUGAAAGGUUCACCUGUGCAAUUCCUCCUAACUUUGCCGAGAGACUGUGAGCUCUGAGAAGGGGAGCAGAGCCGGUGUCUGCCAGUCCAAUAUCUAUCCUAGUGUUUGGCUCAGAGUCAGCACUCCAGCAACAUCUGCUGAAUGAAUCCACAAGUAAAUAAAAUGAGUGUGAGAAGAAUUCCCUUUUCUGCUCAUUUUAUAAACCCUGAGCUCCCCGAAGGCAUGCCGUAUUUCAUUUAUCUUUGUAUCCCAAGAGCCUAACACAGUGCUGACAGUUCGUAGGAACUCAAAAUAUUUGUCACGAGAUUGAGUAAAUUGUAUGAUAAUGAUUUCAAUCUAGGUCACUAAAAUGCAGCGGUCUGAUUUGAAAAUACAUCCCACGAUCUCUUUAGAGAGGCUUUCUUUGACUAUAAUCUUAUCUAUAUGAAUAUUUUCUUCGUUUCUCUCUCGAUUAAGAAAGCAUUUAUUUACUUGUGAUGGAAAAUUCCUCUCUUCUUGUGUUAGGGGUAUCUCACUACAAAGAAUAAGACUAAGGCUGUCAGGACAGUGACUCUGAAAGCUUUUGGGUUCAGAAUCCCUUUAUAUGCUUAAAAAUUGUUGAGGAUCUUAAGAAGCUUUUGUUUAUGUGGGUUAUAUCUAACAUAUUAGAAAAUAAAACUGAAGAAUAUUUAAAAUA
Equus quagga is the source of this 2516-nucleotide long non-coding RNA. RefSeq lists it as uncharacterized. The transcript is spliced from 4 exons. The record is from RefSeq and is a predicted model, not a curated record. NCBI's taxonomy places the organism in Eukaryota, Metazoa, Chordata, Mammalia, Perissodactyla, Equidae.